Molecule: ribosomal RNA, 473 nt
Filed under: uncultured bacterium
Lineage: Bacteria
Description: partial 16S ribosomal RNA
Rfam family: Bacterial small subunit ribosomal RNA
Source: RNAcentral
AUGAACGCUAGCGGCAGGCCUAACACAUGCAAGUCGAGGGAUAAGCCUUCGGGCUAAGACCGGCGCACGGGUGCGUAACGCGUAUACAAUCUGCCUUUUAUCCGGGGGAUAGCCCGAAGAAAUUUGGAUUAAUACCCUAUGGUAUAAGAGCACGGCAUCGUGCACUUAUUAAAGCUACGGCGGUAAAAGAUGAGUAUGCGUUCUAUUAGCUAGUUGGAGAGGUAACGGCUCCCCAAGGCGACGAUAGAUAGGGGUUCUGAGAGGGAUGUCCCCCACACUGGUACUGAGAUACGGACCAGACUCCUACGGGAGGCAGCAGUGAGGAAUAUUGGACAAUGGUCGGAAGACUGAUCCAGCCAUGCCGCGUGCAGGAUGACGGCCUUAUGGGUUGUAAACUGCUUUUGUAAGGGAAGAAUAACGAGUACGUGUACUUUGAUGACGGUACCUUACGAAUAAGCAUCGGCUAACUCCGU